This 24146-nucleotide long non-coding RNA is filed under the name Lactuca sativa (garden lettuce). RNAcentral's name for it is "long non-coding RNA (LSAT_LNC000684)". The record is from RNAcentral. Lineage: Eukaryota; Viridiplantae; Streptophyta; Magnoliopsida; Asterales; Asteraceae.
GGUUACCCAUCGUCCUUCGCGUUCAUUACAGGGACCUUGUAAACGAACCAUGGAUGAUUCUUGAAAACGAAGUGUGAAUCCCCUGCCUUCAUUUUACAUGCCUUCAACCAUCAAUAUCAAUCCUAAAGUCCAACUUAUAUCUAUAGACAUUGAGUAAAACACAUUCGACCACCAUCCUUCGUCCUUCCCUUUUCAUGCAACCCAAAACAUCAAAACAUCAAUUCUUUUUGUCUUCCCAUCGACAUCGAUACUCAACAUACAAAUUUCAAUUCUCAAAUUCAAGUCAACUUUGACUUUCUUAUGUUGAAUUUGCUUUUAACCAUCUUCAUUCUACAGGCAACAACCCUUCGAUUGUACAACUCAAAACAUCAAACCAUUGACGCCAAACCAAAUUCGACCCUUCGAAAUUGAUUUUUUAAUCAUCAACAUCAAAAUCAAUUAGCCUUCCCCCUUCAAAAUCAACAUUCAAUUCUUCGUUAUUAGCUUACCAACAUUCGAUAUCAUCGUCCAAAGUUAUCAAUCGACAUAAAAUCUAAGCUGGAAUCAACCCUUCGUAAUUAGAUUAAGACUUUCUAACCAUUUGAAAUCGGCUCCUAAGCUUGAUUCCAAGUCUUCGAACUCAAUAAAUAGUCAUCAACAUUAAACCCAAAAUCCAACAGGUGACAAUUUAUAUCGAUCCAAAAACAAAUAACCCUCAAAAUCGAUAUUGUAACGCCCGCAGAUUCUGGCUAGUCAAUUUAGAGACAAUAAGCGUCAAAAAAUGAGUUUUUGAUCGAAUAUUAUUUAGAAUUAAUAAUAUUAACAAAUUUAUAGUAUAUGUCAAAAAGGUUUCGUAGAGAUAAGGAACGUAGGAAUCCGAGUUAUAACGAAGAAGUUAUGACCCGUCGAAGUUUUACGGCUAAACCGGCACGACACCGCGUAACGUAAAAUAUGAAUUUUUGAUAAAUUAAUUUUUAGCAUUAGAGAUCUAAAUAAUGGUUGUAUUAUAUGUUAAACUAACAGCGUGCAUAAAAAGAACGUCAGAAUCUAACUGCAUAUAAGGAAGUUAUGAUUUUUCUAAGAUUUAGUAUAGCAGUGAACAACCCGGAAUUUGAAUAUUAGAUCGAUCGAUUUUUAGCCAAAAAAACCUAAAUGAGAAUUGAGGAUCUAAUUAAUAGGAGUACACCGAUAAAAAUACAGUCAAAAACAGAGUCCGUAUGUAAAAAUUAUGAAUUUUACACGGUCGUUAACAGUUUAAUCUUCUCAUAUUGUUAAAUUUAAAAUCGAUCAUGAAUUAGCCGAUGGAGUCAAAAGUAAAGUUGUAGAUCUUGUUAAUACCUAUGCGUGGAUAAAAAGAACGUCAAAAAUGGAUCUCAUAUGUGAAAGUUACGGAAUUUAGAAUUCAUAAAGGUGGUGUUGCGAAGGAGGUGACAUGACGCGAUCUGAGCCAUUGCUUUCUCCCCAACCCUUGCCACCAGAUGGUGACAUGUAGCAUCCAACUCGAUGUGUUGGAGGCCCUAACUCGAUGAGUUGAUUUGUAUUUCAGCCUAUAAAUAGCAUGCGAAGGUCUCCAUAAUUUUCACACAAAAACCUACUUCUCUCUCUCUCUCUCUCUCUCUCUCUAACUUCUCUCUAAGCCUCCGAAAACCCUCCCCAAGCCCUAGUAACUUCUAAGUGCUAGAGGAAAGCCCGGAGCACCCGAAGGCUCAAAGAAAAAGAGCUUUCCAACUCAAAAGUUUUGCCGCUGUAGAGCCCGACUCCUAGAGAAACCCCCUUGUAAGUGAGUUAUGCUUACCCUAAUUUAAGUAUAACUUAUGUUUAAGUUCAUUAUUGUUAUUACGAACCUAUAAACAAGAUUUAUCAGUAAUUCAAAGUCAUUAUAUUGAUUGAACUACUUAUGGGAGAGAUGUCUAGAAUGGUCACGUUGGGUUUGGUUGUUGUAUUUCAGAAAAGCUAAACGCCGAAAUGGCCCUGCCUCCCAACUGUCCUGCCUGGCUGAUCCUUACAUGAUAGAUCAUGACGUAGACUCUGAGUUAAUGAUGAAUCUAGAAUAAUAAUAGUCGCAAUAAAUAUUAAACUAAAUUCUAGUAAUAAUGAUACUAGGUUUCGAUGAAGGAAAAAAAAUUGUUAGAAGUGAAGCACUGUCCGAGUUUGGAAUCAUCUUUUUAACAAGUGAGUGCAUAGUUAUGUGUUAUGUGUGCAUAUUAUCUGAAGUAUUUAAUAUAAAUUACGUGUUUUAUUCGAGUUUGGAAUCAUCAUUUCAUCUUACACAUAUAUAUGAAGCAUUUAAUAUAAAUUACGUGCUAUGUGUGCAUAUUAUAUGUGUUCUUGAUAUGAAGUAUUUAAUAUAAAUUACGUGCUAUGAGUUUGGAUUUGUCACUAACCUUGUCUUGCGAUUAUGCUUUUGAAAAAUUCACAUUGAUAGGAACACAUACACCAUAAAAUCUAAGUGUCAAAAGGUUUUUCUCCGAUUCAUGAAAAUGAUGGUGAGGAAGUGUUUUCACUAAGUGAUUUUAGGUAGAUAGCAAUUGUGAUAUUUGCAUUCUCAAAGUCGUUAGUGGAGCGUGUGUGGUUAACCGGAACACUAACAUGGACUUGUGAGGAAUGGAAAAGGUCUAAACAAUUGAGACUAUGAUUAUGACAUCCCUUUUCAUAGUUUUGAAAUUGUUUAGACACACAUGUGUGCUAUCUAUGGAAAGGUGUAUGAUUUUGAUAAAGUUUUUAUCAAAGCAUCUCCUAUCAGAAGUCUGAACUUUGGUAAGAAAGUCAAUAAAGUAUUGAUUUCUAGAAGUCCAACUGAUUGCUGAGUACAUGUCAAAGCUAGUGGGAGCAUAAGUGUUAUGCUGAUAAUUCUCAUAUUAGUGGGAGCAUGAUAAUUAUGAUAAGUGUUGCAAAUUAGCAAUGUUAGUUAUAGAAAAUAAAAAGUUUCAAUUUGGAAAAGUUGUUUUGCUAUAAUUAAGGGAGAGGAAAUUGUACUUCAUUUCAAUUCUAAGAGCUUAGAUUGAGGUUUUAAUCAUCUUUAGUCAAGGAUAUAUAUCUAUAUAUNNNNNNNNNNNNNNNNNNNNNNNNNNNNNNNNNNNNNNNNNNNNNNNNNNNNNNNNNNNAGGGAGAGGAAAUUAUACUUCAUUUCAAUUCUAAAGCUUAGAUUGAGAUUUUAAUCAUCUUUAGUCAAGAAUAUAUAUAUAUGAAUUUUAUGUUGGAAUAGCUCAACAUAAGGAAAUUCUAUAUAUGGGUCCAUUAUUUGCAUUCUAAAAUUCGAUUAUGAUUACGGCAUCCCUUUUCAUAAUCUGAAUUAUAGGAACUUGGCAAAUAGAUAUAGAAAUAUUAUAGCAAAAAGACUGGUCUAUUAUCAUGUCUUUAUGUGAGACAUCAUGAAUCGUGUCCCAUAUGUUUCGGAUAUAGGAUCGAUUGCAUGUGCUAUAAUAUUUAUCCUUUCUAAAUUUUUUCCAAAAUGCCUAGUGGCAUUAAGAGGGGAAAAAAGGUCUAGAAUUGGCUAUAACUAAAAUGAUUAAGCAAUUGUCGAGGACAAUUUAAGGUUUACCAAAGAUUGGUUGCUUAAGGACAGUUAGAAGUAUGGUGUUAAUUUUGGAAGGACCAUAUUGACAUACUCUGAAAGGAGGCAACUUUUGUUCAGAAGUGAUAGUCAAAAUGGGAAUAUGGAAAUGACUCCAUAGGUGGAAGUUAUUCAGUCUGUGUAAGAUUAAAAAACUUAAUGCAAGAAGGAUGUUCAAAGCAAUGUACUUUGAAUAUGAGACUUCGUUUCCAUGGAGUUUAUCUCCAUUGGUAUACUCUGUAAUGUCUGUUGACAAGUCUUUGUGACUUUGUGCAUAAUCAUUACAGAGGAUUAGUGCAUAUAAGUUUAAAAUCUAACAAAUUUCAGUAAAUGGCAAGAAUUUGGAAUUAUUGUAUUUGCAGUAAGGAUUUGGGAUUGUGAAAUGAGAAUCAUUGGAAUUAUGUUCAAUCGAUUUAUUUCACAAAGUAAAGAUCAUAGACAAACUUAGUGUGCAUACUUGGUGUAUGGCAUAACUAAUGUUUCGAAAAACAUAGUGUGCAUACUUGGUGUAUGGCAUGACUAGUGUUUAGAAAACGUAGUGUAUAUGCUUGGAGCAUGGGACAACUAUUGUUUUAAUUCAAGUUUAAAGUUGAUAAUUUGAAACAGUAUUCAAUGAAUAAUGUGUAAUCAAUAUGGUGAUAAAUAAAAGGUGUUUUAUUUAUAUUCAUAAGUUCUGAGACCAUAUUGGAUUCGAUUAUUCUUGUGUUUCACUUUGCAUUUUUUGACUUCCAGAAUAAUUAUGUUAUGGUAUUUCAUAUUAUUCAAAUUCUCCAUAGUCGGUCAUAUGUUGGAAGUAGAUAUGAAUCAAGACUGUCAUGAGUUAGCUUGUAGAUGUCUAAGAUGUUGGACAUAGCAAGAGUUGCUACAACACUCAUGGGUGCUCAUAAGUUCUGAGUAUUGGAUUCAACCCACGCUCACUUGUAUCAAUUCAUGGAAUUUAUCUCGAGUGAUCGUGAGAAAGUAAUAUCAUAUAAGUCUUCAAACCUAGAGAUAUGAGUUAUUGCCUAUGAGUUGGUUAUACAUUGAUUGUACAAAAAAACUCAUUGGCAACUCGAUGUUAUAAAACGUGCCUUUGUGUAUGAUUUAACAAGUAGUAGAACAAGCAUAUGAGUCGAAGUUUAUAUGUUCCUUCUUGGUUUAGAAGCGAUAUCUAGGCCCCUCGAUGAUUUUGUUGUGACCUAUGUACCGGGCCCGGUCAGAACUAAAUUGAUGUGUUCAAUUAAGUCCUAUGUCAAACAAAUCGGAAAUCGAGAAACAAACUGCUGGACAAUAAGUAAGACACUGUUCCAUGUAUUUUUCUGGCUGAUAUCUAGAACAGAGGAUUAUAUGAUUCCUUGUCUAAAAUGUGCUUCAUAGUUCAACAGAGUUUUAAGAGCUACGAUUGUCGGUCGGUUCCUGAAUUCAUAAUUGAAACUAUAGUUAUUAGACUUAUCCAAGUGGGAGACUGUUGGCUAAGGUGUCUAAGUCCAUAACUAUAUUUGAGAUGUACUUCACCCGACCCGACAUGGUCCAUUUGGGUUGCCCUUCACCCGAACAAUUUAUAUGGAUAAUCUUUUGAGAAUAGUAUAAGUUAUGAUUUAUUAAUAUAUUAUAAGUUCUAAUAUAUUAAUAUGAAAUCAUAUUAUUUAAUUAGUAUUGAUCUAUAAUUAAUCUAGGAUUAAUUUAGAGAUCAAAAGUAUUACUAAUUAAAUAUGGGCUCUUAUAUUUAUAUAGUGUGGGCUAAUGCUUAUUUGGAAUGGGCUAGGCUUGCAUGGAAAGUCCAUGGAUACUCCAUGGAGCUUUAACCCAUGGAUCUCAUGGAAAUGAAGAGACAUGGGUAUUAGGGUUUACAUGGAUGUAACCCUAAUCCACCACACUAUAUAAAGGAAUCCUUGGCACUUGAAAUUGCACUAGUUUUUCUGUGCGAACUAAGGGUGGUGAUUUCUAGAAGUGUUCUACCAUUCUCUCAAGUUUCCAAGGGUUGUGGUGAUUUGUAACUUCCAUUUGAGGCAUCCACAUUAUUAGUGCUAAGCUCUCAAACUCCAAGCAAUCAACCACUACUAAAAGGUAUGUAACUCUACUAGCUUAUUAAGUUUCAAAGUUCCCCAUGCCAUGCUAGUUAGGUUAAGAACCUUGGAAAANAUUUGCAUGCUCUUAGUAAAACAUAGAUCCAAGGUUUCUAGGGUUACAUGUACACCAUAGGAGUGUUAGAAUGCUCAAAACCCUUCAGUUUAAACAAGAAGUGGGGAUCAAUUGGGCAGGAAGAUAAAGACGUUGUGAUCCGAUCGAGUAGGAGAGUAUCUUAAUAUCGAGUUCCAUGACUAUCUUAAGGAAUGUGGAAUUGUUUCACAAUUGAAGCCACCAAGGAAACCAUAGCUUAAUGGUGUGGCUGAGAGGUGUAAUAGAACCUUGCUUGACAUGUUUCGUUCCAUGAUGAGUCGAGCUUCAUUACCUAUCUCAUUUUGGGCUAUGCCUUAGAGACUGCCGCCCAUAUCCUUAAUCUAAUCCCUACCAAAAAGGUUUCCAAAACACCUCACAAGAUGUGGAUAGGGAAGGUUCCCUUGUUAGACCACAUCAAAGUUUGGGGUUGCGAGGCUUUCGUGAGACGCGAGACUCACGACACACUCGAACCUCAGAGUGAGCGAUGUGUUUUCAUCGGCUACCCACAAAAGUCCGUUGGAUAUCUCUUUUAUAGACCGAGUGACAAUGUUGUCUUCAUCGCAAGGAGAGAAGUCUUUUGUGAGUGAGAACUCAUAUGCCAAUGGGACAGUGGGAGGCAAAUUGACCUUGAAGAGCUUCAAGAGUCAAGCGGUGAAGGAACCUCAAACACUAACAAUCAACCUGAGGAGGAAACUACGGUUGAGCCAAUUGACGAAUUCGUAUGACAAUCAAGUUUGGAACUUGGUUGACAAUGUACCAGGCCGUAAGACAGUCGAGUGCAAAUGGAUCUUCAAGAAGAUGACUGACAUGGAUAGGAAAGUACACACAUAUAAAGCACGACUGGUUGCGAAGGGCUUUACUCAAACUCCGGGAGUUGACUAUGAUGAGACCUUCUCACCAGUAGCGAAGAUUAAAUAUAUAAGGGUUAUGUUGGACAUAGCUGCAUUUCAUGAUUAUGAAAUAUGUCAAAUGGAUGUCAAAACCACUUUCCUUAAUGGAAAGUUGGCAGAAGAUGUUUACAUGAGUCCACCGAAAGGUUUUUGUCAAUGCAAAGUACCCUAAUAGAGUGUGUAAGCUUGAGAAAUCCAUUUAUGGAUUGAAACACGCAUCUCGCAGAUGGAAUCUUUGCUUUUAUGAGAAAGUCAAAGAGUUUGGAUUUUCGAGAAGCGAGGAUGAGUCCUGUGUAUAUGUCAAAGCUAGUGGGUGUAUAGUGAGCUUUCUGGUAUUGUAGGAGGUUAAGUCUUGGCUUGGGAAGUGUUUUGCUAUGAAGGACCUUGGCGCAACUGCUUACAUCCCAGGGAUAAGGAUAUUGAGAAACAGGAGUAAAAGACUAAUAGGGGUCCAAUAAAGGUGAGCUACCUAUCCAAAGCAAUACUAAACUAAGUAAGACUCAGAGUCUGAGUACAGAGGCAGAGCUAGUGUAACGCCCGUAGAUCCGAGCUAGUCAAUUUAGAGUUAAUAGGGUCGAAAACAACUUUUCGACAAAUGAUUAUUUAGAAUAAAUAAUCUAAACCAAGUUGUAGAAUAUGUCUCGGGGGUUCCAUACAUAUAAAGAACGCUGAAAUCCAAGUUAUAACGAAGAAUUUAUGGCACGUCGAAGUUUUUCGGCAAAACCGGCACGACACCGGGAAACGUAAAUAGUGAAUUUAUGAUAAAAGACUUUGUAUGAGGAAGUUAUGAAUUUUCUAAGAUUUGGCAUAGUAGUGCACGACCCGAAACUCAAAUUUUAGUUGGAGCAGUUUUUGGCCUAUGCGACCUAAAUGAGAGUUAAAGAUCUCAUUAAUAGGAACUCAACGAAAAAAAUACACAAGAAAACGGAGUCUGUAUGUAGAAGUUAUGAAUUUUACACGGACAUUUAGCAGUAUAAUCUCCUCCUACUGUUAAAUUUAAGAUCAGUCGAGAAUUAGCCGACAAAGUCUAAAUGAAAGUUGUAGAUCUUGUUUUUACCUACGUGUGGAUAUAAAGAACGUCGAAAACGGAGCUCGUAUGCGAAAGCUACGGGGUUUAAAAGUCGACAGGGUGUUGUGCGAAAUCGAGUGACGUGGCUGAAUAUGGGCCAAUGCUUUCUCCCCAAGGCAAGCUACCUGGUGGUAACACCUGGCCAUGGACUCGACGAGUAGGACCCCCUACUCGACGAGUAGAGCAGGAUUCCAGCCUAUAAAUAGAGGUGUCGGGUUCCCUCAUUCUUCACACCAUUCCAACUUCUUCUCUCUCUCUCUCUCUCUCUAAACUCUCACUCUAGCCCCCAAACCCCUCCUAAAGUCUAGGUGAACCUUCUAGCACCCAAAGGAAGCCCCGAGGCUCCCGAAGCCCCAAGAAAAGAGCCUUUCAGCUCAGAAACUCUGCUCCGGCGGAGCCUGGUUUUCGAGAAAAACCCGUUGUAAGUGAGUUAUGCCAACCCUAUCUUUUAUGUAGCUUAUGUUUCAAUAUAGUAAUGUUAUUAGAACCUUAUAAUGAGUAUUUAGGCUAUUAUUAUGAGUUAUAUAAGUGUCGUAAUAAUUUCUUUUUAACCACUCGCAGUACGGGGAAUAUGGUUUAAAGGGCCGCUUGGGUUGCUGGAUUCAGAAGUGCUAUAUGCCGAAAUGAUCCUGCCCUCCGGUGUUUCAUGUCUGGCCCCUGUCUGUACAUAGUGAUUGACAAAUAUUGUUUCAUGCAUAUAUAAUAGUAAUAAUAGAAAGACUAUUAAUUAGUCACGGUGAAUAUUAGACUAAACUCUAUUGGUAAUGAUACCAGGUUUUGUCAAAGGAAAAUUAUGUUAAGAGUAAAGAAGUGUUGUCCGAGUGCUGAGUCACCACCUUUUCAAGUGAGUGCAUGGUCCCUUUUCAUCUUACACAUAGAUAUGAAGUAUUUUAUAUAAACUAUGUGCUGUGUGUGCAUAUUAUCUGUAUAAUUGCUAUCUAUGCUGGAUGAAUGAUGUUAUACAAGUUUUAUAUGAUUUAAACUGUAUAUGUAUUUAUAUCUACAUAAUAUGUUGGGUAAAACAUGGGUAGAUGAAAUAUGAGUUGGAUGAUGAGUUGAGAGGUGAUAUAGACCAUGUGGUAAGGGUGAGAGGUGGACAAUGUGAGAAGCCUUGUUCCCAAAUGUUGGCUCCGUCAUCUAGCAGAGUAUGGAUGACAAUCACGGACAAUUCUAGACAGUCCGGUGGAAUACUAGAAGGCUCGCAACCUGUAGGUGUUGUGAAUGAUGUGUUCAGCGGUGUACUCUAAAAACCCAUUGACAUGUAUUACGAGUGGACUAUCAAAAACGAUACUAUCAAUAAACGAGAUAACCCUAGCAACUGUUCCCAAAGGACAAUACCAACAGUUGCGCCUCAUUGAGAAUGUCACAAUUCUGGCAGCUGCGCCUAAGUGAUAAAACUAGCAGUUAUGCUUGACAAUUGUGUCAUUGACAACGAUGGACUUCGUACCCAUUCUUUAGGAUAAUCCUUGGGAAUGAAUGAAUGAGAAAUAGCUGAUUCUUAGGGUAGAUCGUUAAGAGUAAUGAAGAUAAUGGGGAUGGGUAAUUGGGUUAACUGUUUGAUGAUUAAACAUAAUAAUUAUAUUAUUAUGGGUUGAAAACCCUAUGCACUCACCAGGUUUCACAACCUGACCCACUCAGUUUAUUUAUAUCACAGGUGUUGAUAUGAAGUCACAUUACACUGAGAGAUUAAGGAGAUAUAAAUCACUAGUGNCUGUCUGUACAUAGUGAUUGACAAAUAUUGUUUCAUGCAUAUAUAAUAGUAAUAAUAGAAAGACUAUUAAUUAGUCACGGUGAAUAUUAGACUAAACUCUAUUGGUAAUGAUACCAGGUUUUGUCAAAGGAAAAUUAUGUUAAGAGUAAAGAAGUGUUGUCCGAGUGCUGAGUCACCACCUUUUCAAGUGAGUGCAUGGUCCCUUUUCAUCUUACACAUAGAUAUGAAGUAUUUUAUAUAAACUAUGUGCUGUGUGUGCAUAUUAUCUGUAUAAUUGCUAUCUAUGCUGGAUGAAUGAUGUUAUACAAGUUUUAUAUGAUUUAAACUGUAUAUGUAUUUAUAUCUACAUAAUAUGUUGGGUAAAACAUGGGUAGAUGAAAUAUGAGUUGGAUGAUGAGUUGAGAGGUGAUAUAGACCAUGUGGUAAGGGUGAGAGGUGGACAAUGUGAGAAGCCUUGUUCCCAAAUGUUGGCUCCGUCAUCUAGCAGAGUAUGGAUGACAAUCACGGACAAUUCUAGACAGUCCGGUGGAAUACUAGAAGGCUCGCAACCUGUAGGUGUUGUGAAUGAUGUGUUCAGCGGUGUACUCUAAAAACCCAUUGACAUGUAUUACGAGUGGACUAUCAAAAACGAUACUAUCAAUAAACGAGAUAACCCUAGCAACUGUUCCCAAAGGACAAUACCAACAGUUGCGCCUCAUUGAGAAUGUCACAAUUCUGGCAGCUGCGCCUAAGUGAUAAAACUAGCAGUUAUGCUUGACAAUUGUGUCAUUGACAACGAUGGACUUCGUACCCAUUCUUUAGGAUAAUCCUUGGGAAUGAAUGAAUGAGAAAUAGCUGAUUCUUAGGGUAGAUCGUUAAGAGUAAUGAAGAUAAUGGGGAUGGGUAAUUGGGUUAACUGUUUGAUGAUUAAACAUAAUAAUUAUAUUAUUAUGGGUUGAAAACCCUAUGCACUCACCAGGUUUCACAACCUGACCCACUCAGUUUAUUUAUAUCACAGGUGUUGAUAUGAAGUCACAUUACACUGAGAGAUUAAGGAGAUAUAAAUCACUAGUGAUAACGAAUUAUGCUUAUGUUUCUUUAUUGACGAUGACAUCCCAAUGUUUUAAAAUGAAUAAAAUACAUUUCUUCGUAAAUGCUUUGAUAAUGUAUUUAUCAUGUUUUUCUGGGAACAAAUUCCGCAACUAUUUUCUUUAAAAGGUUACUCUGAUUUUCAAAGUAAAGCAUAAACAAAUCGGUCUUUUCUGUCCAUGAAAACGGGAUGUCACAGAUAGCAGAGAUGAGUCGAAUGCCAUAUGCUUCUGCAGUUGGCUCGAUCAUGUAUGCUAUGACUUGUACUCGCCCUAAUGUGGCCUUUGCUUUGAUCAUGGUCAUCAAAUAUCAAGGGAAUCUAGGUAAAGGUCAUUGGAUUGCAGUUAAGAACAUUCUUAAGUACUUGCGGAGGACUAAGGACUGGGUCCUUACCCUCGGUGGGAGUGAUGACUUGAGAGUGACGGGGUAUAGUGAUGUCAGUUUUCAAACCGAUAGAGAUAAUUUCCGCUCUCAGUUGAGCUGGGUAUUUACCCUGAAUGGAGGAGCAGUGACAUGGAAAAGUUCCAAGUAGGAGACUGUAGCUGAUUCAACGUGCGAGUCAGAUUACAUAGCAGCAAGCGAAGCAUCGAAGCAGGCGAUAUGGUUGAAAAACUUCAUCGAAGACCUUGGAGUCAUACCAUCCAUACAGGAUCCUAUAGAGAUUUUCUGCGAUAAUGAAGGCGCGGUUGCCUUAACCAAGGAACCGAAAGAUCAUGGUAGAUCCAUGCAUAGUAGGGUUAAGCACCUGCAGCAUGCAAGGGGCAUUGGGCUAAUGGACGAUAUUAGUUUUAGUGGUUAGAUAAAUAGAAACUUAUAAUAGCUAAAUAGUAAUUAAUAUUUGAUGAUUAAAUAAAAGAAGUUUUAUUUAUAAGUAAAGUUACUGUCUUGUGUCAAUUAUAUACUAUUGUUUCACUUUGCGUGUUUUGACUUCCAGAAUAAUAAUAUUAUUCAAACCAUCCACAGUCGAUCAUACUUUGGAAGUAGGUAAUGAGGCUAGACUGUCAUGAGUUGGCUUGUAGAUUGUCUAAGGUGUUAGACAUAGCAAAAGUUUGCUACACCAUUCAUGAGUGCCCCUAAAAUAAGAUUUGAGUAUUGGAUUCAACCCGCGCUCACCUGAAUUACUUCAUGGAAUUUAUCUUGAGUAAUUGUGAGACGAUAAUAUCAUAUAAUCUUCAAACCAAGAUAUAUGAGUUAUUGACUACGAGUUGGUUGUGUAUUGAUGGCAUGAAAACGCAUCAGUAAAUUGAUGUUAUAAAACGUGUCGUUGUGCAUGAUUUGAUGAGUAGUUAGUACAAGCAUAUAAUGUCGAAGUUUAUAUGUUCCUUUUAUCCUAUGAGGAUUAAAAGCGAUAUCUUGGGCCCCUCGAUGAUUCUGUAAUGGCUAUGUGUCGGGCCCGAUCAGAACUAAAUUGAUGUGUUUAGUUAUGUUCUAUGUCAGACGAAUCAGAAAUCGGGAAACAAAUUGCAGGAAAAUAAGUAUAACUAUGUUCCAUGUAUUUGUCCGCAUAGAUAUCUUGAGAACAGAGGAGUAUAUGUUCCCUUAUCUGAAGGACGUGUCACUAACUAGGUCAGAGUUCGACAAAGGCUUUUGAAAGCUUACGAUUGUUAAGUCGGAUCCUGAAGUUGUUGGGUUUUGAGCAUUAUAACACUCCUAAGUAUACAUGAAACCCUAAAUACCUUGGAUCUAUGUUUUCUCUAUUAUACAUACAAAUAUGAACAUCCAAGGUAUUAUCCUAAUCUAGCAUAUAAAAUAAUGAAUAUAACAAGAUAGAAUACAUACCUCUCUCAUGUAGAAAGUCUUCAUGAAGCUUGAGUGCCAAGUGCCCCAAGUGUGACACCUCAAAUGGUUCACACAACACCAAAUACACUUGGAAUAACUUGAGAGAAUUCUACACUUCAUGAAAAUCGGCUAGCCCUCUCUAGAUCAUACUCUAGUGGCUGAUUUUGGUCAAGAAUAAGAUCUUUAUAUAGUGUUACAAUUAGGGUAAACCCUAAUUGUCAUGACUUUCCAUUUCCUUGGAUCCAUGGGUUCAAAUACACCAUGGAGCAUCCAUGGACCAUCCUAUGGGUUUUAGCCCAACUUGAUUAUCCAUGGAGCAUUAGCCCACUAUACAAGUAUGGAUGAUUUACACAAUCAACCCAUAUAUUUAAUUAGUCUUCUUUUGAUCACUUAAUUAAUCCUAGAUUAAUUCUUGAUCAAUACUAAUUAAAUAAUCUUAUUAUUCUUAUUAUUAAUAUACUAGAACUUAUAAUAUAUUAAUAACCAUAAGUGUCUUAUUUCUCUCAUUANCUUACGAUUUCUAAGUUGGAUCCUCAAGUCAAAUUGGCAAUUAUAGUUAUUAGACUUAUUCAAGUGGGAGACUGUUGGAUUUGGUGUCUAAGCCCAUAACUAUAACCGGGAUGUACUUGACCCGAUUGUAGCAUGGUCCUUUUGGGUUGCCUUCACCAGGGCAAUUUGAUAGGAUGGACUCUUGAGAAUAAGGUUAUUUAUGAUUUAUUAAUAUAUUAUAAGUCAAUUAUAUUAAUAUGAAAUUAUAUUAUUUAAUUAGUAUUGAUCAAGAAUUAAUUUGGAAUUAAUUUUGUGGUCAAAAGAGACUAAUUAAAUAUAUUGAGAUUGAUUAUGUAAAUCAAUGAUUCUUAUAGUGUGGGCUAAUGAUCCAUGAUAAUUUAGAUGGGCUAAACCAAUGAGAUAAUCCAUGGAUAGUCCAUGGUGGUUAAAACCAUGGAGCAUAAGAAUGUGAAAGGUCAUGGAGCAUUAAGGUUUGCAUGAAUGUAACACUAUCUUAGCAACACUAUAAAAGCACAUCCCUAGAACCAAAAUUGGUUACACCAUCAUUCUAAGAAGUUUGAUAUUGAUUUUGAGCUAAGUAACUUAUUCUCUCAAGCCUCCUCUUGCAUAUUGGUUUUUGUGAACCAUUAGAGGCAUCACACUUGGGGUGCUCAAGCUUUCAAAGGUCAAGAACUACAAGUCCUUCUAAGAGGUAAGUCAUCUAACUAGUUGUAUUGUUCAUUGUUCAAUUGUAUGCUAGUUAGGGAGAAUGCUUUGGAAAAAUUGAAAAUGCAUGUAUAAUUAGAGAAAACAUACAUCCAAAGCACUUAGUGUUAUAGUGCUCAAAACCCAACAAAGAGUUAGUUUCUCUCAAGGAUGUUAACAGGAAAUGUUCAGGCUGUCGUUUCAUCGUUGGAUCAGAUUUAUGAGUAUUGGUCAACAUGGUUGAGGUUCGAGUGUCUGGAAGUUAGGCAUAGUUACAGAGUCUUCAGAUUAUGGAUAAGGAAGUUAGGUCUUCUCGAUCUGGUUUAGUUGUAAAGUGUUAGUGUUGCCUCUUUGUCGGGUCUCACGUUUCCAACCAAGGAUUAAGUUGGCUUUUGGGAUUGAAGGGAAGUGUCUGUUUUGAUCAAUUUCCCAGUGUUGUGAUGGUCAUGAAUUCGACAUUUGGGAAUUCCGCUAGGGUUUGUCUUAUUUGCUUGGUUUUAGAAAUCCUUAUGACUGUGGCGGAAGUUUCAAGCAUUCAGGGUGGGGUCGAUUGAAAAAACCAUAAGGGGUUCGGAGUGUGUUUUAAGAGUAAUUUGUAAGGACAAAUUUCGAGGAAAAAGUCUAAUUUAUGCAGGGGAGAUUUGUAAUACCCUUUUUCUAGAAUGGUUUAGCCAAAGAGUUAACAAGAUCAAAGAUGGUGUUUUUGUAGAAAACCCUAAGCCGCAACGUAGUGCAAAGAUGAACACGACAUGGAAUGGGUUUUAUGGAAUACACAUUUUAGGAGAGCACCACAACAUGACAAGAAUGUUGCCAUGACAUGACGAGUGCUGGAGCCCAAGCUUAUGAUUUUUAGGGUUUCACCCAUAUUUUUAAAGGCCUUAACUCUAAGGUUAGCUCAUUUCCCUCGGCCUCCAUUCUCCUAUUUUGAAACCUUAGCCCCAUUUGAGUGUUCUUGAUGAGCUCUUUGAAUUCUUGAAGUUUGAAGCCUUGGUUUGUACUUUGUGAAGAAGAAGAAGAAGGCGUGCUUGCUAGUUAGAAGAGUGUAUCUACUUCAGAUCUUGCAUCUCCUGAAUCUCGUGGAGCUUGGGAAGGUAUAAAGCCUCCACAUGUAUCAUCCUUUUCCAUUAUUUCAUGCCAUGAAGUCCCUUGAUGGAGUGUUCUUUGAGUUUUGGUCAACUCCUGAACCUUAGGCUUGUUUGGUGACCAUUUUUUUGGUCAUAUGUGAUGGAAAAAGUAUUAAGUCUUUGUCCCCUUUGCUCUAUGAUCAAGUUGAGGUCUUAUUAAGGGUUUUAUGGACUUAGGAUUUUAUAUUUUGUCUUGUGGUGAGGUCCUAAUGGAUAAAGUUGGAAACUUUAUCCAUUAAGUCACUAAGAAGAACUAAAUAUGGAAGUUUGAGCUUUGGUAUGUAAGAAUUAAGCUCUUAAUGACAAAAUGGCUUCUGGCAAUAGCCACAACAUGGAGAAGAGGUCUCCAUGUUGUGGAAUAGGUUCAGUCUCACGACUGUUUUGUAUGGACAUUCCCACGACGUGGCCAAGAGGUUAUCAUGUCGUGGUGACAGUUGACCUGAUUGAUCGUUGAUUCCUGACCUGUUUGACUUGGGGCCAAAGUUAGAGGAUUUGGAUUGUUGAUUGAGGAUUUAUCUCCUUUGGUGUUAGUUUGUUUGAUUGAGCAUAAAUAUUUUUUGCCGAUAGCAAACCACAACUUUCGAAUCUGGUACCGCUGCUUUCAGAUAUGGAACCAACAUCUUUAGAUCUAGAACCAUCAGCUUCAGAUUUGGAACCAUCGCCUUCAGAUCUGCAACCAACACUUCUAGAUCUAGGGAUGAGAUUUAGAACCAGAAAACCGAACUGGAAUCGGAAUCGGACCGGAACCGGAACCGCUAGAACCAUAAUAUAUUGAACCAUUUCCGGUUCCGGGUUUAAAAAUUGGGUUUAUCCGGGUUCCGGGUAAUCUGGGUUUGCGUCCAUCGGUUCCAGGUAAACCAGGUCUAAAAACCGGAACCGUUGUUAGGAACCAGAACCACUUUUAGGGUCGGAACCGAUUUUUGUGAAACGUUUAAAAGAUGCAUAUCUCAUUCGUUUAAACUCCGAUUGACAUGUGGUUUUUUCUAAUGUGUAGCUUAGAGUUUGUACAUGAUUUUAAACAAUAAAUUUUUCAUUUUUAGUUUUAUAUUCAUUGACUUACAGUCCCCCAAAGUUGAGAUAUUAAAGCUGAAAGUUUAUGGUUUUUCAGUUUUUUUUUUUUUGUAUUCUGUGAAAGUUUUAAAACAUGCAUAUCUAAUUCAUUUGAAGUCGAAUUGAUAUGUGGAUUUUUCCAAAUUGUAUUUUAGAGUUUGUACAUGAUUUUUGGACUAUAAUUUUGUCAUUUCUGGUUUAAUAUUCAAUGAUUUAUAGUCCCCCGAAGUCGGGAUAUCAAAACUGAAAAUUUUCAACUUUUCAGCUAUUUGUUUUUGUAGUUUGUAUUAUGUGAAAAUGUUAACAGAUGCAUAUCUCAUUCGUUUAAAGUCGGAUUGACAUGCAAUUUUUUCCAGUGUGUAGUUUAAAGUUUGUACAUGAUUUUAGACUAUAAUUUUGUAAAUCUUGGUUUCAUAUUCAAUGAGUUACAGUCCCCUAAAGUCGGAAUAUCAAUAUGAAAAUUUUCAAAGUUCAACCCACUAAGUAGUAAGUAAUUGCCAAAAAAUUCCGGUUUUUUCUGGUUUUCCGGUUCUAAGCUCACUUUAUCCGGUUCCACCCUAUCCACUUUGAUGUCCGGGUCUUCCGGUUCAAGACCCACUUUACCCGGAACUGAACCGGAACCGGUUCCUAUAUACCGGUCCGGUUUCCGGUUCUACAAAAUCCCGUUAACCGGUUCUAGGUUUUCCGGGGCCGGGUCCAUUCGGUCCGGGUUUGGACCCACUUUCAUCCCUAUCUAGAUCUAUGAUUUUCCGUUGUCACUAUAUAAUAUGAUCAUAUAUGUUGUUUUUGAUGCGAUUUCCUUAGAUCUAAUACCGUCAUCAUCACCGUCGUCGACCGCUACAUGUCAACGAAUGUUGCCACUGGCCGUACAACUUCCCUCGGAAUGUCGAUUCAGAAACAUUUUUUGCUUUAGGAGUAGUUUUGUAAGAUGAUAAUUAUUAAUAAAAUUAAAACAAACCAAAUUAAUAUUACCGUUUUGGUGUAUUAAGAAUUAAAAUUUAUUUUUAUCUAUUUCAAUAUUUUAAUUUUUAGAAGUGUCUAACUCUUCUUAUAUCAAACUAUAUAUAAAAAAGUUAGCUUAUUGUGUGUAUUUUGUACAUGGUAGUUUUAUUCUAUCAAUGACAAGUAACAGUAACAAUUAGAAAGAUUAUAUGAUGUAAAAUGAUGAUGAAAAUAGUUCAAAACAAUUACUAUGUUUUUUCCCCUUAAAAUCACAUUUAAUAUUUUUCUUAAAAUUAAACACCUUUUCUUGAAAGAGAGUUAUCUUGAUGGAAAUUGCAAAAUGAAAGAAAUAAUACAUCACUUAGGCUUUGCUUGGCGUACUAGCUAAAAAGCUGGCUGAUAGCUGAAAAACUAGCUGUUAAAUAAAAAGCUAGCUGAUAGCUGAAAAGCUAACUGAUAAAAAAUGACGUUUGGUAAAACUAGCUGAAAAGCUAGCUGAAAUAUAUAAAAUUACAUAAAAGGACAUGUGAGAGUAUGUGUUUCUAUAAUUAAUUAAGGGGUAUAUUUGGAAAUUUUUAAAAAAGCUCCUAAAAAGCUAGUCUAAGUAGCUUUUCAAAAAGCUAGCUUAUAAGCUACUUUUUGGCUUACCAAACACGACAACAUAAAAAAGCUCAAAAAAUAAGCUAGCUUAUCAGCUAGCUGUAGCGCGCCAAACACAACCUAAAUGUGAGGUUCCACCAAAUCAUGAACAACCUUAUAUGAGAUUCCUUUCUUUUGGAAAGAUUUGGGUGUGGUCCAAUGGUUUGACAUGAAAAGCAUUAUCAUAUUUCUUUUUAUGUAUCUUCCUUUUUGUUAUAAAAUUGUAGUAAUUGAAAGUUAAGUAAUCAUAGAAUCUUACUUUAUUAAAAGUAAGUUCCCACCCAAUUUCCCUGUCUUUCUUUUAAUUUUUCACUCUUUAUAAAUUACCUCACAUAUUCACUACUCAAAAACAAGUUAGAAACUGUGUGUUUUAUAGAAGAGAAUCAGUAAUAAUAAGUAUAUGUGCCCCCGCCACCUUUCCAACGUUGAAAAUACAUAGAGCAAAUCGACAUGCUUUCUCAUUGUCACAAGUUGUAAAUCUAACUUGUAAGUAUGUAAAAGCACCUCAUAAUAUAAUUAUUUAUGAGUUAAUGUACACUAUGUUAAUGCCAUUAAAGUCUUUGAUUUUGUGUACGUUUAUUCUUACUAGGAAAAGGAAAAGCUUUUAUGAAAAAGAUUAUAAUAACAAGUAUAAAAUAUGAUAUGAAAUUGCAUUGCAUUGUAUUUUUUUUAAAAUUAUUUUAAUAGCUAGUCAAUAUAUUACAAAUUAUAUAAUGCCACUACACUAUAGACAUCGAAAGUGAAACAAUGAGAAACAUUUUCUGGACAACAUAACCUUAAUUUUUCAUUAGAAGUGUUAGAUAUUUUCAAAAUUAAAUAAAUUAUUAUGUAUAAAUACCCUUCUCUAUCUGAAAAAACCAUACAUUAUGUAUAAAUAAAUAUAUAUAUUUUUAAAAAACAUUUUCGACAUAAAAAGAAACGCUAAAAAGUAGAAUCUAUUCACGUGUUUGGUUCUACAAAGGGAAUUUAAUCCCCACUCAUCUGAGAUACACUGCACUUCAUCUUCAUCUGCUUUCCUUUCUCCCUCUUCAUCUACACUUCCUUUGCCGGCGAACAAUCUCUCUUCUGAAAGCCCACCAACUUAACUUCGCCACCGAUGCACCAAACGUCCUCAUCAGCAGCCUCUGUGGAAGCAUUUUAUAUGAAGAAUCAGUGUUGUCGAUAACUGUGUCCAGAUUGCAAUUGAUCAAACGCGUGGUGGACAAGGUUGCAGGAAGAACACAUGGGGAAAAAAAGGAGAUCCGGGUCUCCGCUCUCCGGUCACCACUCACAAGUAAGAUCGAUUAAUAUUUGGCCGGAAACCGACCGGUCUUGUUUAUAUUUCUAAUCAAUUUUCUUUCUUGCGUCAACUCAUGGUUAGGCCGUUCGAUGAUCAUGGUUGAACCUGUAUUUUUUUGUUAAUUUAUCUGUCCAUGACCUGUUGAUCAACAAUUAGGAAAAGAGUAUUAUAAUUUAGUCAUGGUUUUAUAUAUUAGUAGUAGAUCUUUAAAUUUGCAUUUCUUGUUGACUCUUUUGGAAAAAAUCAAGUAAAAACUUUUCUCUUAAUUGCUCUUAUAUCGAUUAUAUUUACUUUUUGUUGUAUGUAUGUCUACUAAUUACUAAUUGAUCACUAACUAUAUUAUAAAUUUUGAUGUACACAUUUUUUACAAUAAUCGAAGAGAGGAAUAAUUACUUAUUGAUCACUAACGAUUAGGUUUUAUUUGUAUUCUAUAGAUUAUAUAUCAAAUAUCUACUAAAUAAUACAAUAUACAAAGGUUUUCAUAAUAAUUUAACAGAGAGAUAAAAAGCUUUUCGUAUUUGGAAAUACCACUUUAAGCUUUUGUUUUCAAGAUAAAACGUCAUCAUCAUCCAUGUUUUUUUGUCAAAAGACCAUACUACCCUUCUUUUAAUAAAACCUUGUACUCCUUUUUAUCUUUUGUUGUAGAGAAACUCAUUUUAUUUUUUUACCAAAGACCACAUGAUUGACUUUGUUCCUAAAAAGAAAACAUCUUACUUUUUAAUUACUAAAUCUCGAUUGGUUUUAAUCUUCAGAGUUUUCAUCUUCUUAAGUUGCAUUAUUUCGAUUGUUGCAGCCUAAUCAUCAUCUUAAACUUAUUAUUAUUCUUUUGAUAUCCCACAAUUAGUGUUAACAUAUGGACAUAUGAUCAUGAUAUAUUGUGGUACAUGAAAUAUGUUGUCCAAAAAUUCACUAUAAUAGAAAAAUAAAAAAUUUAUUUUUGAAUAAUUUGAUAAGUAGUUUUAUAUAAUCAAUCUCCAAAUUUCAACAUAAAUAAUAAUAAUAAUAAAUAAUUAUUAUCGUUUCCAUGAUUUUGAAUGUAUGUUACAUAAAAGGAAGGAAAGGUGAACAUUUUUUUUUGUCUAUUUGUUGUUUAUAAAAAUAAAUGAUGUUAUUGCAUGAAAAGGAAAUAAUAGUUCACUUAAUUUCUUGUAAUAAAUAUAUUUUUUGUUACUUUUUCCAUUAAACACUUUCACAUUGUUGAAGUGACGAAGGAAGUUGUAAGGAAGGUUCCACAAAACUAGACUUGGCAAUCUAUGUCUGCGUGUCGUGUAUUCGUGUCACACAUGAAUUUACACGACAUGAAUUUGUUAAACACGAACACAACACGAAUUAUAAAACGUGUUUGGGGUAUCAAACACGAACACGACAUGUAAAAAAUUCGUGUGACACGUGACACCACACGAAUAGACACGUUUUUAAUGGCUUUUUUUUAAAGUUAGGGAUAUAAACUAAUUAUUGAGUUUUAUGAAAUUGUUCCCUAAUAUAUUAUAAAUAUAAAAUUUAACCCUAAUAUAUAUAUAUAUAUAUAUAUAUAUAUAUAUGUGUGUGUGUGUGUGAAUAUNAUAUAUAUGUGUGUGUGUGUGUGUGUGUAUCACAUGUCAACAUGAAUUUGUAUCGUGUCUAAACGUGUAAAUUUGUGUUUGACACGUGUAAGACACGAAACAUGAAUUUAAAAUGUGUCAGAUACGAAUAAACACGAAACAUGAAUUUCUAAAACACAUACACGAAAAACUCGUAUCGUGUUAAUCGUGUCAUGUAGCAAAUUGUCAGGUCUACACGAAACUUCAUGGUCAUCCUUUAUACUUUAUAUAAAGUCUAUUCCUCUAUAUAUUCACUAUCAUCAAGAACUAGACACCAUAUCCAAAACAAAUUAGAAGAGAAUCAAUGGCAUCUCCUAAUUUCCUAAUCUUCUAUCUCAUCUUGUAACUUUCUCUCUUUUUCUCUCUAGCUUUUACUCUUAUUGGCAUUUGAUAAAAUAUAAAUUUUGAAAAUUGAAUCACUUGUGAAGUUUCUUGGAGUUAAUCCUCAAAAUAAGAACUUACAAGUAGAGUGUGUGCAUGAAGCUUUCUUUACACAGAAGUUAACUUCGAUAACACGGCUAUGAAAUUACCAUAUAUUAAUCCAAAAUGUAGAUUACAUUUUAACAUACCCCUUAAUCUAGGCUUGAGUUACUUCUUCCUUUGUCCUCAAAUCUUGGAUGUUUAAUACUUUUAAUGAUUGUACGUUUGUUUUGUGAUUUCUUCAUGUGUACUCCUUUGCAACACAAGGUGAAAAACCUAUCAUAUACACCGUUCCAUUUGUUCUUUUGUUUAUCUUCUUUGAUUCUAUAUUUUUCUUUUUCACAAAUAUCUUCUCUUCCUUCUUUUAGUGUUUAAUUUCAACCAUCAUCCUUAUCCACCUGUUUAACAUUAACGAAAGAACGAAAGUAGCCACAUGUGACCAUUCCAUUGACACCCUAUAACCCUUCUUGAAAACUGGAUAAAGAUAAAAUAAAAUAAAAUAAAACUUUUUUCAUGCAUUGACUUUAAUCCUUCUUAGAACUCAUACAUCCCUUUCAGAAUAGAAAUCUGAUUCAUUUACUAUCGUUUGAUAUCAUGACGUUUCUUUCCUUCACUUUUGUAAGUACCCACGUGAUCAACCUUCUCUUCCCCUUUUCAAACAAUUUGUCUUCUUUUGAGUUAUUGUUGGUUCGUAUAUCACUCUUUAUUUAUUGAAAUCAAUAUCCAUUAAACCAUACCUUGAAGACCGUUCCUUUUCUUGACCAAAUAUUUUUGUAAGCUUGUAGAAUCAAUUCUCCAAAAUCCUUUCCUUAAUUCCUUAAGCUGGUCGGUGUGGUAAACGCCCACAUCGGCGUUUUUAGAUAAAAACAAAGAAACAGAGUUAAAUGAAGGUGGUGGUGGCAACGGGAAGCAACAACAGAUGUAUAACGUCCAAAAACGGUAAAGGGGGCGGUUUUUGUGUGUUAUAACGCCCACAGGGCGUUGCCCAUACCCAACAUCAUUAUCUUCACUUGGUUUUAUUUCAUCAUAGCUUUAGUGCAAAUAAAGCUUUGUCGUUAUUUGUUGUUACACUUUUCCCAUAUUCCUUAUUAAAAAUCUAUAUAUUAAUUUUGAGAUAGUUUUAUUAAUUUAAAAUGUAUUUUAUUUUUAGGAUAGUUUUGUUGAUUUUAGGACUUUAUCCGCUACAAGAAAAAACGAUUAUUAGCGGCGACAAAAAAUCAUCGCAAAGAGUUUGCUUAGUCACCGACAAAAGUAAUAACGGAGACAAGUCGUUGCUACUGUCCCUUGUUAUUGAUCAAAAUGUCGCCGCUAAAGCUUAUUGUCGCCAUUAGUAGAUCCAAAUGAGAUGUACUUCCAAUUAGUUUAAACCAAGAUAUACUUGUCGUGCUUCGCCACAUAUAUAGAUAUGGACAGAGAAAAAGGACGAAAGUUAUACUUAUCCUUAACAUAUGUGCGUGUGUGUGUGAACAUAAUGUUGAAAUGUAAAACUCAUUUAUCUAAAUAUUUGAUUUCCCUAGCAUUAUGUGUGCUCCUUCUAUCUCCCCCGACAUCUACCAAUUAUAUUAGUUAAUUAUCAUUUUAAACCAAAUAAGUAUUAGGCUAGCGGUAUCAAGAAUUGACUGAUAGGUGUUUAUCGGUAUCGGUAAAAAAAAAGUGAGGGUUCAAGCCUCGAGUUGGGAUGAUAUGUGUUGAUAUAAGAGUAGAACAGCGAGUGCAUGUGUAAACCGUUAAAAUAAUUAAUUUUCAUUUUAAUCUCAAUUUAUGUCAAUUAAUUAUUUAACGUUAUGUAUUUUAUUGACAUUUAUCUUCCUUUGUUUUUGGUCCUUACUAGUUUAAUGUCCAUGAGUCCAUCGCCAAUUCUUUACAACAACUUUAGACUUCAAAUACUACAAAAUGUCAUAUCUACUUUUAACUUUCAUAUAUCAUUUUUGACACUAACAGAGUGUUAAUGCUCUUUUUUAUUAUUCGAUAUAAUAAAUAUUUUUAUUAUUUAAUCAUAAUCUUUUUUCGUUAUUACUAUAUUGGUAUAUUUCCCACGGUACGUUUCAACUUUGCCGGUGGUGCUUCCAUGAAAUUUAGAUCUCAAUACUAAAUACUAUCUUGUAUACCAAAUCUCAACGGUAUGUUAUAUGAUAUAUGUUAAGUCCCCAUUUUGUAAGUUAGACAAGAUAAAAUAUAAUAGGUCGACUAUAUGUAUGAUUUGACGAGGAUUGGGACCUAUGCCAUUGUGACAUAAAAAGCCAAGAAAACUUGUCCAUUCUCGUGUAAUAAUUAUAACCUAAUGUUAUGCUAGAAGUACAAUAAACAAAAAGAAUAGAUGUAAUACAAACGAAAUUGAAUUAGAUGUAAUAUACAAGAAUCAAUUCAUAAGAAAAACGUACUUGAGUGUAGAUUACAACAUAUUACAAACUCGAAUUUGUGUAGAGAGUGAAGCAUGCGAAGUUGCAGUGUCCUAAGACAUGAAUUCUUCUAACAGGGAUCUAUCUAGAGGAUACAACAAUCUAAUCAAUAUAGGAUCUUGAUUUUGAUGAAAUUCAGUAACUUCCCUUCAUUAAUGUAGAAUCCGAAAAUAUAGGAAGAAUAUGUGAGUGUUUGUCUAAUCCUUAAAUGUGAUAUUUGAUGAUGUAUUUAUAGGUUUCAUAUUGGCAGUUAAUCAAUUCCAACCAACACACCCGUUCAAAACCAAAAUUAACUGCUAAUUAACUAUCUAAUAAUUACUUAACAAUUAACAUAUUUAAUAAUUAAAUAAAAUUCGGAAUUAAUACAUAAUAAUAUUAAUAAUCAAUGAUACCACAACAACCAUACGCCCAUGGCUAAUCUUUUUAAUAUAUAUAUAUAUAUAUAUAUNNNNNNNNNNNNNNNNNNNNNNNNNNNNNNNNNNNNNNNNNNNNNNNNNNNNNNNNNNNNNNNNNNNNNNNNNNNNNNNNNNNNNNNNNNNNNNNNNNNNNNNNNNNNNNNNNNNNNNNNNNNNNNNNNNNNNNNNNNNNNNNNNNNNNNNNNNNNNNNNNNNNNNNNNNNNNNNNNNNNNNNNNNNNNNNNNNNNNNNNNNNNNNNNNNNNNNNNNNNNNNNNNNNNNNNNNNNNNNNNNNNNNNNNNNNNNNNNNNNNNNNNNNNNNNNNNNNNNNNNNNNNNNNNNNNNNNNNNNNNNNNNNNNNNNNNNNNNNNNNNNNNNNNNNNNNNNNNNNNNNNNNNNNNNNNNNNNNNNNNNNNNNNNNNNNNNNNNNNNNNNNNNNNNNNNNNNNNNNNNNNNNNAUAUAUAUAUAUAUAUAUAUAUAUAUAUAUAUAUAUAAUGGAAUUGGUUGGUAUGAUAUUACAUUUGUAUUGAAAACAUUGUACCAAUACUAUACCAUGAUUACUCAAUUGGUAUUGGUAUUACCAAUCAUACAUUUUGGUUACCAAACAUAUUGGUUACAAAGAUAUUUGGUAUGGUUGGUAACGUGUUGGUUGGUUUUCCAUGGUACAUAUUGUCAGCCCUACUGAAUCCAACCCAUUCCCUUUUAGCCCAAACUUUUGAUCUAAUUAGUAAACAAGUAGCAAAAAGUAUUAUAAAGGAAUAAAUGAUUCUUCUUUUCUCCAAUGUCCCAUAGGGCAUUUUCCUUUAGAAAAGUUUCAAUUCCUAAUUGACUUAUAUUCAUGAAUCUUGAUUUGGUUGUUGGAAUACAAUAUAGUGGGCUUGGGGUGCGGUGCAUGGGAAUUCAGAUUAGUUGGGAAAAAGUUACUAUUUUAGGAG